UUUUGAAGGUAUUUGUACAAGGAGAUAGAAAAUUCCAGAUGGCAAAUAUGGUAGUUGAAGCCGGACAGAAGUGGACCCCCGCACCACAGUCCUUCAGCCAUCAUACUCUGAGUUGGAUAUAACUGGAGUCUGUGAGCCAGUGCUGGAUAUCAAACCCGUCAUGUCUACCAGCGUCAUGGCCUAUCCUGUUGCAGUAAGACUAGGCACUUCCUCUCCUAUUGAGGCUGGACAAGGCAACCCAGUACAAGGAAAGGAUCCCUAAAGCAGGCAACAGAGUCAUAGCAGCCCCUGCUCCCUCUGCCAGGAGAUCCACGAGAAGGCCAAGCUACACAACUACGGCAUUACAUGCAGAGGACCUAGUUCGGUUCCAUACAAGUUCUCUGUUUGUCGGUUCAGUCUCUAUGAACCCAGGUCUCAGGCUGCCCAGCCUCUGGGUCCUGGUCCUCAAGGAUGGGUGCCCUCUCAUCGUCCGGGUCUCAAGCUGUACUGGUUGGCCAUUCCCAUAAUUUCUGCGUCACCUUUGUCCCAGCACGUCUUAUAGGCGAGAAAAAUGUUGUUUCUUAAAAACACAAAUUAACAUUGAAUUGAAAAAUAGUCUCUGCAUCUGUGGAGCUGAUCAUGAUUUUACUCUGUUGGUCAGUUGUUAGGAAGAAGGAUUUUUGUAACAUUUUACCAUUUCAAGUUCAAUAC
Non-coding RNA from Myodes glareolus (Bank vole), 690 nucleotides. The record is from RefSeq and is a predicted model, not a curated record. Lineage: Eukaryota; Metazoa; Chordata; Mammalia; Rodentia; Cricetidae.